Molecule: ribosomal RNA, 377 nt
Filed under: uncultured bacterium
Lineage: Bacteria
Description: bacterial SSU rRNA
Rfam family: Bacterial small subunit ribosomal RNA
Source: RNAcentral
GACAAACGCUGGCGGCGUGCUUAACACAUGCAAGUCGAACGGUACUCCUACGGGAGUAUAGUGGCGGACGGGUGAGUAACACGUAGUCAACCUACCCUAAAGUGGGGAAUAACCCCUCGAAAGAGGAGCUAAUACCGCAUACGCUCUUUGGUGAUAGCUAGAGAGGAAACGAUAGCUGUGACAGGCUAUGGGCUUUAGGAUGGGACUGCGGCGGAUUAGCUAGAUGGUGGGGUAACGGCCUACCAUGGCGACGAUCCGUAGCUGGUCUGAGAGGACGACCAGCCACACUGGGACUGAGACACGGCCCAGACUCCUACGGGAGGCAGCAGUGAGGAAUAUUCCACAAUGGGCGCAAGCCUGAUGGAGCGACGCCGCGU